CGAUGGCUCAGUUGGUAGAGCGACGCACUCGUAAUGCGUAGGUCGUGGGUUCGAGUCCCAUUCG
Molecule: transfer RNA, 64 nt
Filed under: uncultured Eubacterium sp.
Lineage: Bacteria; Bacillati; Bacillota; Clostridia; Eubacteriales; Eubacteriaceae
Rfam family: tRNA
About the family: Transfer RNA (tRNA) molecules are approximately 80 nucleotides in length.
Source: RNAcentral